CCUACGGGAGGCAGCAGUGAGGAAUAUUGGUCAAUGGCCGAAGGUCUGAACCAGCCAAGUAGCGUGAAGGAUGACUGCCCUAUGGAUUGUAAACUUCUUUUGUAUGGGAGUAAAGUGUUCCACGUGUGGGGUUUUGUGUGUACCAGAUGAAUAAGGAUCGGCUAACUCCGUGCCAGCAGCCGCGGUAAUACGGAGGAUCCGAGCGUUAUCCGGAUUUAUUGGGUUUAAAGGGAGAGUAGGUGGAUUGUUAAGUCAGGUGUGAAAGUUUGCGGCUCAACCGUAAAAUUGCAGUUGAAACUGGCAGUCUUGAGUACAGGAGAGGUGGGCGGAAUUCGUGGUGUAGCGGUGAAAUGCUUAGAUAUCACGAAGAACUCCGAUUGCGAAGGCAGCUCACUGGACUGCAACUGACACUGAGGCUCGAAAGUGUGGGUAUCAAACAGGAUUAGAUACCCCUGUAGUC
RNAcentral lists this ribosomal RNA (460 nucleotides) under uncultured bacterium. RNAcentral's name for it is "partial 16S ribosomal RNA". It matches the Rfam family "Bacterial small subunit ribosomal RNA", at positions 338 to 795 of the family's 1533-position model. The record is from RNAcentral.